GUGGGGAAUCUUGCGCAAUGGGCGAAAGCCUGACGCAGCCAUGCCGCGUGAAUGAUGAAGGUCUUAGGAUUGUAAAAUUCUUUCACCGGGGACGAUAAUGAUGGUACCCGGAGAAGAAGCUCCGGCUAACUUCGUGCCAGCAGCCGCGGUAAUACGAAGGGGGCUAGCAUUGCUCGGAAUUACUGGGCGUAAAGGGCGCGUAGGCGGACAGCUUAGUCAGAGGUGAAAGCCCAGGGCUCAACCUUGGAAUUGCCUUUGAUACUGGCUGUCUUGAGUUUGGGAGAGGUGAGUGGAACUCCGAGUGUAGAGGUGAAAUUCGUAGAUAUUCGGAAGAACACCAGUGGCGAAGGCGACUCACUGGCCCAAUACUGACGCCGAGGCGCGAAAGCGUGGGGAGCAAACAGGAUUAGAAACCCCUGUAGUCC
This 425-nucleotide ribosomal RNA is filed under the name uncultured bacterium. Its description in RNAcentral is "partial 16S ribosomal RNA". It matches the Rfam family "Bacterial small subunit ribosomal RNA", at positions 354 to 796 of the family's 1533-position model. The record is from RNAcentral.